This is a long non-coding RNA of Gasterosteus aculeatus aculeatus (three-spined stickleback), 3266 nucleotides long. The record is from Ensembl. NCBI's taxonomy places the organism in Eukaryota, Metazoa, Chordata, Actinopteri, Perciformes, Gasterosteidae.
GUGCUCUUGCCAAUAAUGGUGCCAACGCCCUGAUGAAGUAUCAUGGCUGCUGGGGCUCUGACACCCAGCCAAACCCAGGGGUGGGGGUGGGGGGGGGGCUGAAGCUCCCCGGGGAAAUUUAGAGAAAAGCCGGGAGGAGGAGGGGAAGGAGGGGGAGGAGGGGGAAAGAAAAGCCUGCUCUCAGGAAAUGGCAGUCACUUAAAUAUCAUGUUCAUUUACUGUACUGCUAAAUAGCAGAACCUACACAGAGACAUUAUGUGUGCGUGUGUGUGUGUGUCAAUGGGGGGGUUAAUAUGUCGCUUCAUGUGACAAAUUGCCAUUUCAGAACUCCAUUGUAACCUGCUGGUCAGCAUGUGCUCGUGGAAAUCUAUGUAUUUAUUUACCACGUGACCUGUGAGUGGGGAACAUGUCAGACCAGCGAUUACACACUCGAGUCACGGUCUGAACACCAGAUCCCCAAACACGUUCCUUAAAUCAGUGAUUAAAUUGUACAUUAUAUUGUUUUUUGAGCCCUCUUCAUUAGAAAACAAAACAUAUUUAAAAUGUAAUCAAUUUCAAAAGUCAGUGGGCUUCUUAUUGAUCUCACUUUCACACAGGUGAAUAAUUACAGAGCCCACAGACUAGUAUGUGCACCAUAAUAAAACACCAAGGUAAAAAAUACAUUAUUUAAUAACACGUAAAAUAAAGCAUAAUUAGCGAUAUUAUGCAACAAAGCACAACUUAAAAAGCAUAACAGUAUGUAUGUGUGACACAGUGUAUACUUGUUACAUGUUACAUGUUGAACCAUGAUUAAAAAGAACAAGAACCAAGGAACCAGACAUAUCUUUAUAGAUCAAUAAGCUUGUGGCACUUCCAUGUCAUUGAGAUCUUUGAUUUUAACACUCAAACCACAACGAAGUCAGUGAGAACGCGCGUGUGUGUGUGUGUGUAUGUGCGCGCCAAAGGGUUGAUUGGAUUGUCAUUGUGCCGUAUUUAGCUGGUACCAUAAACAUCUCUCUGGAGAAUUACCCUUCAGCUCCAGUAAUAUGAAGCCAAUCGUUAACUCACGUGAGAGCCACUGAGGUUUUAGGUGUCCUUGCUUUUGCAGCAAUUCAUUAUCUGGAUCCUGGUCACCUUUUUACCAAUCUUCUCAAACACAAGCACGCACGCCCAGCCGAAUGCUAUUACAGUGUUUCUCAGCGAUAAGCCCGGGUGAAAUCUAUCUAUAAAUUAAGUUUUUGCAUCAUCGUUUAAGCUUGUAAUUGCUGGAAGACUCAUUUCAUUAGGCCGCAUAUCUCCUCCGUACCUGGAGCAACGUGCGUCGUGAUUGUGUUGUUUUGUCCCGUUUGUGUCCACUUUGGGUCGCUUUGUAAUGAGGACAAUGAGGCGAUAGCUUCACAUGAACCCUCAAAUUACAUUCUCUCACCUUUCACCCACACACAAAUAUAGAUAUUUAAUAUUAAUGUUCUGCCAGUUUCAUGCUUUCUUUUCAGGGUGAGGUUCAGGGCUGACUUUCACCACUUCCCCUCCUCGUUACCACAUCAGGACUCAAGUUGCCCUAGAACAACACCAGCUCCACCACAGUCACCUCACAACCCCAGUUUCCACACACACACACACACACCGAGUGCAAAACCUGGCCGUGUUUGCAGGUAGGGCCGCCCCCCCCACUGCUGGGACAACACGGAGCAGGCUCUCGGUCAUGACUAGAAUAACAAGGAGCUGCACAGAAUUCAAUUAAAUGUUCUGCUCUUUGAAAAGCUACCACCCAGCGCCCACAUGCACGCACGCACACACAAUGUUGAAAGUAACACACCUCCACCUAACUACUCACUCUUGCUUUGUUCCUCCCACACAUACAGGAAAGCAUGCAUGAACACACAUGUGAAUAUCAACCCCCCUCCCCUCCCCGAUACCUCCUCUCUUACUAUGUGUGUGUAUGUGUCUUUGUCCCGUCCUCCUGAGAGAAGCCUGGACCUUCAAACAUCAUCUUUAUACCUGCCGCCUGAUUGGCUCCUGGAGGUCAGCGGAUAAGCCCAUAAAAAAGGUGUGACAUCUCUUUACAUCGACUUAAACGUUCACCCAUUUGUGCCGGCGGGGCCCGCGUGCGACAAGGACUACAUCUUACUGCCUUUGAAUCGGUCACUUAGCGAGGCCUGUGGUGGUCAAUGAGGUGAGGCAACACACCUUUAGCUCUUCCUGCUUCUCUAAGACACAAGGCCAGUUGAGUCCACAUAUAUUUCUGAUCCAGAAUCAGAGCACCAAGCGCCAGCCGAUCUAAUUAACUAAUUGGAACGUUGAUGAAACAGAGCAAAACACAACUAGGUUCUGUUAGGGCAGAAAUAAUUAAUGCAACAAAAUAGAGCAACGGUUAUGUCCUUCAUCAGCUCGCCCAUCAUGCAGGAGAACACAGCGCGUUUGUGGUGUGAACGCGGGGCACAGAAAUAAGGAUCGGGAGUGCUCGACGCGCUUUACUCAUCCACUGUGUCAAAACGUUUUUCAGGUCCCUUUGAAAUGUUCUUGGGGGGGGAUUAAGGUGUGGCGGCCCUCUCCUGUUCAGAACGCCCCCGCACACGCCACGGGAGAGAUGACCUUUAACCUUGGCCUUUUUCUGACUCCACUGGGAGAUGGCAAUGUGUGUCCAUACGUGAGCAGAGGUUAAAAGAGCGGAUGUUCUAUGCCUCGUCCACUUCAGCCAUCACUACAUGACCCCCCCCGUCCCAGUACCAAGUCAACUACAGAACCGUGUAAAAAGUACACAAUACAAAAACCUGAAACUAUGAAUUGUUAUUUCAUGUCAUCACUUCUGUGUGAGUCCUUUAUACAAAAAUGAAUAUAAUAUAUAAAUGAAAUAUAUAUAUAUAAAUCGAGGAGCCAUAGAGGGUUCUUCUCUUCUGUCUGUAUCUGUCAACAAAUAUUUACAAUUAAGGGUAUUUACAAGUCUUCCAGGCUGUUUCCUCACUUUAAAUAAUGUUACCGUUUUGUCAAAAUACGUAGCUUGAAUGACAAAAUAAGAAUUAAAUAGUAAAUAUCGUCUGAUUUUGUGUGGGUUUUCUCAUCUUUAAUCGUUGUUUUAAAUGUAUACAUUUUAAUAUGACAAACAUGCAUUCCUCUUGGUUUAUCUUUUUUUAAGUCUCCACGCUAUCACUGGUCAUCCUGUGUUUAAAGUCCUAUUGCAAUGACUUGUGGGUAAUUCCCUUGGCCUGAGUCAGCAGCAAAUGCUGACUUAUAGAAACAGUUCAUAAAAGGCUCAAUGCGUCUGCCAGAAAGCCUCAAACACUUUGUGC